AUACCUUUGUAUCAUUUAAUGUUAUUUAAUUUCAAAUUUAUUUUCGCAUUCACUUUUAUUCAAGUAUACUUAUCAUAAUUUUUUCUCACUGCUUAAUAUUUUUUCAGACAAUUUAGAUGACAUUGGGCAACUCAUCAAUUAGUUCAUGCUCAUUAUGCACAUCAACAUCAUGUCAUCAUCUCCAUUGGAUCUGUAUAUACAUGUUGUAGUUCAUCAUCUUUGUGGCUACAUCAUUUUGCAGUUGAUAGAUAACCACUUCAACUCUGGAAACAAAAAGGAUGAAUCUGAAAAAACCCAUCAAUGGUUCAUGCUCAUAACCCACAUUAAUAUCAUCAAUUAAAUGAUAUCUUUG
RNAcentral lists this small RNA (352 nucleotides) under Arabidopsis thaliana (thale cress). RNAcentral's name for it is "ATSL099080". Lineage: Eukaryota; Viridiplantae; Streptophyta; Magnoliopsida; Brassicales; Brassicaceae. The record is from RNAcentral.